UUGUUAUUCCUCUCUUCUCUCAAGAUUUUAUGGGAGGUUUUGUCAUUCUUUGAUCUGCUCUUUAUGAAGGAUUGGGUAAGCUGGUCAUUGGGUCACAGAGAGAAGAUCAUUAUGUCUCAGAAAUGGUGUAUGUUCACAGGUCUCAGUUGGGAGGUUACUUUGGGUGAGAAUGAAGGAGGGGGCACUCACUGUCUCCUCUCCUCUCUCUCUGAUCAAUCAAUAGUGGCUGAUGAUGUAUUGGAAUAUGUAAGACGCUAUGCUUAACUUAGGAUCAUAAAGAUAAUUGAAGAACCACUCCAGACUGGUAGUCUCCAGAUGAAGAUUGUUGCUGAAGAUAAACUCGUUGAAGAGAGGAUGGCUGAGCUCCUUCAAGAAUGGGAGAGAAAGAAACCAAUACAUAUUGUGUGAUGAACAGUUAUCCUGCAACCAGUCUUAUUAUUAGGGUCUGAGAGCCCUAAAGAGUGUACUGGUGAGUGCUGGUAAUAUCAAGAGGGACAGGAUCCAGCAACUGAAGCAAGAGCUGGCAGCUCAAGGACAGACACUAGAGGAAACUGAUCUAUCCAAACAACCCAUGAACUAGAGAUCCUGAUCCAAAGUGUAUGUGAGACAGUUGUUCCUAAGCUGAUAGCAGAUUUUCUUUAUUUAAUUUUUGAAAUUUUCUCUGAUUUUUUUCCGAUCAUGGGAAUACAUUUAUUCUUAGAAUAUUUUUAUUUUAUUUUCCAAUUUUUUCUGAUAUUUUCUGACAGUGUGGGAA
Amphimedon queenslandica is the source of this 754-nucleotide long non-coding RNA. RefSeq lists it as uncharacterized. The record is from RefSeq and is a predicted model, not a curated record. The transcript has 5 exons. Lineage: Eukaryota; Metazoa; Porifera; Demospongiae; Haplosclerida; Niphatidae.